Monodelphis domestica (gray short-tailed opossum) is the source of this 12428-nucleotide non-coding RNA. Lineage: Eukaryota; Metazoa; Chordata; Mammalia; Didelphimorphia; Didelphidae. The record is from RefSeq and is a predicted model, not a curated record.
GAUAUCUCGAAUGUUCCCUUCUGUUAUUUCUGGCAGUUCCCAAUCCUGUGAUGUGAUUAGAGAGGAUGAUUACACUUACAUAACACCAUCAAAUUAAUUUGCAGCUGAGAACAGCAGCAGCAGGAAAUCAUUGGAGUUCUCAAAUCUCCCUUCCUCCCCGCCUUACCCCCCUCUACAGUUUAUUUAAGUGACAUCAAGGGAUUAGAGCAAAGUCGGUCAGUAGAGCACUGCUGGGAAAACAACCAAAACAUCAGCCCUGACCUUGUAAACUAAAGAGGAACACAGCAAAUAAUGAAAAGCCCUUGUCCCGGCUCUGGUGAGAGAAACAGCAGAUGAAUCAGCUUCCCCAACACAUUUCCAUCUGAAAGAUGCAUGCAGAUCCGAGGAGGAGGAAGAAAACUGUACCCUUCAAUGGGGGCAUGGUCCACUUUUUCUCCCAUGUCCAGCCAGCCAAGGAGGACCAACACAUGCGAAACAGCCCUCCCCCUAUGAGGGGCGAUGGAUUUACCCUGUUGCCUGGAGACUGGACUCAAACAGAGACCCAGAGAGAGCACCCGGGGGCUGACUCAGGAGGGCUUAAGAAUGAGUCCUGGAGCUGAUAACUCCUGGAGCGGAUAACAGAGCCGAGUAAUCCCAGCGAAGUGAAGCCUCAGCUCGAGCUGGAGGGAGACGACAGGCAGAAGAAGGCAACGUCUGGGGACCCCCUCCCCAGGAAGGACUUACCUCCUGCCCCAGCACUCAGGCUGCCUCCUGCUGGAUUAAUAUUUCUCAACAUAUAAUUAAAUAUUGUUUUUGUGAUUAAUCACUAUGUUUAAAUUAUGUUUGAUUUGUAGCAAUGAGAAUACAUAAUGCAUAUCAGGUAUUUACAUUCUGAAUCAUAACUGUAGCAAAAUUACAGUUUUGAAGUAGCCACCAAAAUAAUUUUUUGGUUUGGGGUCACCACAACAUGAGGAACUAUAUUGCAAGGUCAUGGCAUUAGAAAGGUUGAGAACCAUUUUCCUAAAUGCACAGGUUUGACCAUGUCAUCCCCCUGUUCAAAAUUUUCAGUGGCUUCUUAGUGCCCAUAGGACAAAAUUCAAACAUUUCCCAAUACUGUAUUGGGAGGUUGAAUGUAGAGGGCUAUGAAUUGCCAUCUAAUAAUAUUUGUUAUUAGAUAAUAUAGAAUUACAUGUUAUUAUAUCUAAUUAUAUCUAAUAAUUUAUGUUAUUAGAUAAUAAAGAAUAUGGUCUGCAUAGAAUUUAGCACAUUUCAAAGCAGGUUCCUUUCUGUUAUUCCAUACACAUACUGACUAGCAUCUAGUUCAAUCUUACAUUUUAUAGAAGGGGCAUUGGUGGCCAGAGAAAGUAAGUCCAUUGCUCACGACCAUGCAGCUAGUAAUGGCAGAGUCAAGGUGAUAACCUAAAGUCUACACCUCCAUUCAGCAGUCAAAUAACACUCAAAUUAGGUCGAUCAACUACAUGCUGAUAAAAUAACUUUCAAACUACCAGAAAGUCGUAAUCAAUAUAAAAAGUCAGUUUCGUGGCCUUCUAACGUAUUCCACUAAGAUGUAUAUUUACAGAAGGAGACAAGGGAGAGGAAGAAGCUUAUCAGUCUGGGAGCUCCCACCUGCUAGUGGCUGGCCCAGAUUUUGUUUGAAGGCAAACAUGGAAUUACAAAUAAAUACAUGCAGAAUUUCAUAUCACACGGUCAAAAAGUUUAUGUUACAGUAUUUCAUCCUCAGAUUAAUUAGUGUUCUCAUUACAAGACCCUUGACUCAAACCCAGCCUGAGGUGAAUGCUAGUGCCACUUCUGUAGCAAUUAAUAUAUCAUUUAGAAAGAAAAAAAAAAGGGAAAAAACCCCUUUGAGUCUGUAGCAACCACAAUUCCCACAAGAGUAUAAUGAGGAAGCUGAGUCGUUUAAAGGAUUAAAUAUUGGCAUUUCACUUUUAGGAUCACAUUUUGCAUGCAACCACAAUUUCAGACCUGAAAGACUGGCCGUCUCAGAUUUGACCAAAAAUGUAAAGUAAUCUUCCCAUAAUGUAAUCUGACAUCGUCUCUCCUCCCUAGUUAACUACUUCAGGGUAUGCCUCAUAGAAAUGAAUAUCCAUUGGUUCCCCCACAUGUAUGAAUUUUCAAAUGUUUAAUAUGUAUAAAAUCAAAUUGGUUUGUGAGUACCCAAAGUUCCAUCUCCCAUUUUGGGGUCUUUGAAUCAAUGGUGCUCCAUGUCUGGAAUGAACUAUGUUCUCAUAUCCAGCUUAUAAUUAUAAUUAUAAUUCUUUCAAAGUAUGGUUUCCUAUAAGAAGCCUUUUCUGAUCCCUUACCCAUACUGUAAUCAUUGGCGUGCUUCCCUUCUUGAAAUGUCUUUGAUUUACAUUUUGUAUUUAACAUAUGUUUCAUAACAUUGCAUUAUGGUUUUAAUGUCAUAUGUAAAAAUAUAUGUACAUGUACAUGUAUAUACACAUAUAUAUUUGUGUGAAGGCUAUUCCCCAAGUAUACUGUAAACUUCCUGAGGCCAGGGAUCAUUUUGCCUUUGACUUUCUGUCCCUAAAACCUAGCUUAGUGUCUUCUACAAUGUAGGCGUUUUCAUAAACAUUAGAAAAAUUCAAAGAAAAAUGUUGCCUGCUACACAGGGUCAUUCUUUUAAAAAUCUAUUAACUCCAACUUGUCAGUUAAGAAAAUUAAAUCAGACUGGAAAAGAAAACUUCCCUCAGAGUGUUGCAGAAGAAGCAAGAAUUUCAGGCACACAUGCAGCUCCAUUUUUUUUCUUUUAUGAGAUAUGGGAGGGUACAAUGGAACUGCUGAUUUUGUUUGGUUUUGUUCUUUUGGGCAAAUAUCACAGAACUCCAAGUCUGGGACUAUUUUGGAUUUGGCCAACAAUCUCAAUACCUCAAUCUUUUAAAACUGCUUUGUAUGUAGAAUCUCAGACUGGCUUUUUGGUUUCAAAUUUGAAGCCCCUGUGUAUUUCAAGGGAAGUUUAAUUUGUAUGUUUGUUUAAAAAUGUAUUUCAAACUGAUUCAUAAGAAUGCAUUCUCUGAGUCUUUUCCUUAAAAGUAUCAAAGCUUUUGCUAGAAGAAUAAAGAAAUUCUUUAACCCAGUAGAUUUAAAGUCAAUUCAGGCGGGCAGAGAUGGUUUUAAGGUUGAAUGCUAAAAAAAACCUAUCCUAACCCCCACCCAAACCAAAGAAAUAAACAAACAAAACAAUAACACCCCACAUCCUUUGGUUUCCCAAUUUGUUUAGCUUUCAACUUAAAAGUACAGGACAGAAAGGUAAUACUGAGAUGAAAGGCAAAGGAAGAGUUCCCUUAGUCUAUUCUUUGGAAUAAUUAAUUAGCUGAUACUAUGCCUACUGCUAGUAAAUCUAUACACAACGAGGUUAUAUGUUAAGUACACUUUAUUCUGAAAACUUCACAUGGUUGGAUUUGAAGCUCACCAUCCAACAAUCACCUCUAUUUAAAAGAUUCUGUUAAUAAGGUACCUGUAGAGGCCAUUCCAAAAGAAUCUUUAUGAAAUAUUCUGUUAAAAGCAUUAUAGUAUAAACAUGCUAUGCACUGAAUCAGAAUGAGGGCUACCUUUUAUUUUUAACCCUUACCUUCUGUCUUAGUAUCAAUUCUAAGACAGAAGAGUGGCAAGGGCUAGGUAAUCAGGGUUAGGUGACUUGUCCAGGAUGACACAGCUUAGGAUGUAUUGGAGGCUAGCUCUGGAUUCUAGGCUUGGUGCUCUAUCCUCUUUGCUCCCUCUGGCUAUUUUUAACCAAUACAAAGAAGUUCUCUGAAAUGAUGGGGUUUAAGUUCUAGUUAGAUGACAAAAGAAUGGUACAGGGAUAGAGAAAUUAAGUUGACCACAAGCAUUUUUGAAAUACCUACUAUGUGCCAGCCACUAUGUUAAACUCUAGAUAAAUAUAUCUUAAUUGGUAAAUUGAUCAGCUUACAAAAUACAUUCUUAUAUUAGGCAGUCAGGAAAAUCUGGGUAAAUAAAUGUUCUGGUUAAUCGAGAAGUACAAUAUGGAGCAAUGGUAAAUAAAGAUGGUGGACUAUUCCUAUUUCCUAUUUUAAAAAUCAAGGGACAGCUAGGUAGCUCAGUGGAUAGAGAGCCCAGGCUGGGAGACAGGAGGUUCCAUGUUCAAAUCUGGCCUGAGACACUUCCCAGCUUCUUCUUCUGCCUUAGAACCAAUAAUUAGUCUUCAUUCUAAGACAGGGAGUAAGGGUUUAAAAAAAAUCAAGACAAGGAGGUAGCACAGUGGACAGAAGACUGGAUUAAGUUCCAAUUCUCAAGUUACACAGCUAAUAACUGGCUAAGUUAGAAUUUGAAUUCUACCUCUGAAUCUAAUGCUCUUUCUUCACCAUACUAGCUCAAAUGCCGAACACCAUCUUUAAGGAGUGAGAAAGUACAUUUUUAUUGGAAGAAACUGGCCAAAAGACAGGGAAGGAAGCUGUUCAAGCUGCAUUGUAAUAAAUAGAUUCCCAAGUUUGGCAACAACAUCAGCACUUUGUGGGCAGUGGAGAAGACCCGCUCACUGCCUGCUAACCCAAGAUGACAUCUCCAAGAGGGACAAUAUGAGUGCAUUAUAAACUGCUGCUGUGGCUGCUUCUAGUUCUCUGUUAGACAUGGUCUAAUGAGUUUAGAAAAUGACAUUCAAGAUGCUGUUUUGCCAAUUAGAACUUCCGUUACCUGAUUCUUGAAGGACAUAGGCAUGCCUAAUUGUAAGCUCAGACAUUUUAUUAAGUUGUUAUUCUGUUUCUAGGGCUGAAAAAGUCUUUUAACGUUCACACAGGCAUAUAUUCACUUAAAAAGAGGACGGUGGGGGGAGUGAGGGCAUAAACAGCUGGGAAAAAAAUGUGCUGGAUUCCAAAUGGAAGGUGUAGUCAUUUCCAAAAUGCACAGAAUUCUGCCAGUGUUAGUCUCAGAUGCAGGCUCCAGGUCUUUGUGAAUUGGAAAUCAGGAAAACACUACAGAUGUUUUCCAGUCUUCCUCUUCUGUUAACACUAUCUUGGGCAGCUGAAGGGGAAAGAGAUGGAAGAGCCACAGAAUCCUUCCAAGGCCAGGGCCUGUCAUCUAUCUGAAUAAUCUUAUUAGGAAAACCAGGUCAAAUGAUGGACUAUUCCUCCCUACUGUCAGCCCACCUCACCUCAAUCCUCCUACCAAAAACAAAACAAAACAAAAAAUUGGAUUGUUUCAAACACUCAGGGUUAAGCCUGGUUUCCCUUAACAUAUUUGAAAGGUGUUUCCUACCAAUAAAAUAUCCUUUAUACAAGGACCAGGUUCCCUAAGCCUCACCCUAUCGUGUUUUCUUUCUUUCUUUCUUUCUUUCUUUCUUUCUUUCUUUCUUUCUUUCUUUCUUUCUUUCUUUCUUUCUUUCUUUCUUUCUUUCUUUCUUUCUUUCUUUCUUUCUUUCUUUCUUUCUUUCUUUCUUUCUUUCUUUCUUUCUUUCUUUCUUUCUCUUUCUCUUCCUUCCUUCCUUCCUUCCUUCCUUCCUUCCUUCCUUCCUUUGAUUUUCUUGGGGAAAAAAAAGUUUUGUUUUUCAAAGUUCAGGAAGCCAUAUUAAAUACUUACCAAUGCCCAAAGAGCUGGAAGGUCCUAUUGGGCUGUUGAUGCUUUCCAUGGGAGCCACCAUCCCCUGAUCCAAUUUUGUGAAGAGUUGGGUGGGCAUGUGAUCUGAGAGAUGGGGCCAAAUCCUUCUUGUUCUUUUUUUUUUUUUCAAUUUUGCUUCCCAUGCACCCCCGUGACUUACCCAGCUGGGAGCCCUCCCACCUGUCCACUAGGUCUAUCUGCCUUUUCAAUUCUAGACCAUCCACCUGUGUUCUUCCACUUUCUGGAAGAAUUUCAUUUUCUGCUUUAAUGCCUUUUCAGCACAGCACCAAUAACCUAUCCCAUUCUAUAACAUACACCAUAUCCCCCCCCCCCAAAAAAAGGUCCUCGUGGCUUCUCCCUUCAUGAUUGGCAUCUCAUUAAUGAAGAGGAGCUGGUGUCUCUCAUUACAGUUACAGUGAGUGAAAGCACCUCAGAACUAAUUUAGUUGCUCUCACUAGGGAAGACACUUUCUUCCAUCUAGAAGUUCACUUUCUUGCUGCCUGUGGCAAUGAAAGAACCCGUUUUGUUUUAACAUUAAUAAGGUGAGAGAAUAGAGAAUUUCCAAAAGAAAUUAAGAAAGGCAAGAGGGUAGAUGUCGGCCUCUGAAAGGUUCCCAAAAGCAGGCCCAGUGUUGGAUUCAAAUGAGGGAUGCUCCCUGCAGCAAAAAUGGGAACAGCAGGAAAUAAAAGCCCAACAGGCCAAGCAGAAACCAGCUAAGAACAUGGGGGUUUGCUAGAAAGACCUUUGGACUGAGAGUCAGGAUAUCCGGGUUCUAAUCUCAGUUGCACCAGGAAUGGGCUGCAUGACCUCAGGCCAAUUCCUUAUUCUCUUAUGACUUCAGAUUUUUCAUCUUUAAAAGGAGGGGGCUGGAUGACAUGAUCCCAAAGGUACCUUCCAGCUCUAAAACACUAUUAUUUUAUUAAUGUAGAAAGGGACUACUGUAACUUUUUUUUUUCUGUUUGGGGUGAAUUUUCUUUUCUUUCUUUUUUUUCCAUCUAUGGCAACAAAUUACAAAUUCUUCCAGAAUUAAAGAGCAUGGAAUGGAAAUUAUUUGGCUUCCCUAGCUGAAAAGGUCAACUAGAUUCAGAAAUGUACUUCAUGCUUCUUACUGUCUGAGCAGAAACCUAAUUAGAGAUCAUACUUCAUUGGCUAAAAGGGAUCAAACUUAUCAGAGCUCUCAUCUGAAUAUGUAUUUUUUAAAAAAAUUACCCUGAGUUACUAAUUCAUUUAUCUUUUUUACUUACAGGAAAUUCCCCUCAUUGAUAAAGCUCUGCUUUGACACUCUUCCUGCCAUAAAAUACCUUUAUUUCCAUAGAUAUAACUUUAUGAACAUACCCCCUUUUAUCAUGUUUUACUUAAAAUACCUUGUCAUUUGGGAAACUAUAAAAAAGGGCACCUUAAAAAAAUGUGUUCAUCAUUUAGCUUGAGAUGGCAUCAGGGCAUGUAAUAAUUUGAUUGUCUCUGAGCAGCUUUUAAAAAAUGAGAAGAAAAAAGUCUUGAGCUGAUAUUAAAAUGUGGAAGGAUUUUCUCUUCCCUGGAUCUGCAUGAUUCGGUAUUGAGUGACAUCAUUUGGAAAAGGAAUGCUGUAACCCAAAGGUAAGCUUGGGGAUCAUAUAGCACAUACACCCAGCAAUGGAAUCAAAUGGGGUUUUCCUGGGGAUGGGGAGAAGGCAGCAACAGUAUCCAUGAGGGAAGGAACUUUCCACAGAGAACGACCUCCGUGAUAUAUGAGAUUCAUCCAUUUUCUUUCACUUUCUGUGAUGGUAUCAAAUGUGUGUGAGUGCAGUAAGCUAGAACCAUGCACUAAUUUUGUUUCUUAUAUUUAAAAAAAAAACUCUGCUUUCAAAUUAAGGUGCCUUAUCAAAAAUUAAAGCAGGUAAGCAGCCUAGAUAUUGCAGGAAGAACACAGGAUUUGAUUGGAUUUGAUUAUUUAGACUGGGUCUCCUGUCUUGCCCAGGCUCCUGUGACUGGCAUGGCAGUUUUGACCUGCUCUCUUUCUGAUGUGGGCCAGCUAUUCCCUUUCUUAGCAAUCUGGUGACCCUUUCCUGGGGGUGGACGAGGAGGAAGGGCUCAUCCUAUUAAUACCAAACAUUAAAUCAGCUUAGCUCACUGUAUCUCAGAAGUCUGGAGCUGAAGACAUUAGCCAGGCUCUUCCUCAACAGUAACCAGGAUUAUGGGCAUGUGCCACCAUGCCUGGCAAACUCAGGAUUUUAAAUAGAGGGACUUAGAUUUGAACCCUAGUUCUGCCGUUUAUCUGUAUGACCUUGGACAAGUCACUUAAUCAUUUGAGGUCUUAAUUUCCUUAUUUGUAAAAUGGAGGGAGAAUGUGAGUCUAGAAAAGGGGGUCAUCCAUAGGGGUUCUCCAUCUGAGGUGAGUAAACUUUUUUUAAAAAAGCUAUUUUAACAAAAUUAGUUUCUUCUGUAACUCUAUGCUUUUUAUUUUAUGUAUGUAAAAUCAGUAUCCUGAGAACAGGCUAUAGGCUUCACCAAGCUACCAAAUGGGCUCAUGACCAUUUGAUUAAGGAUUAAUUAAGAACAUGGUUAAGAACUCCUGUUCUAGAUGACCUCUGUUUCCAGCUAUGCACUUUGACCCUUUGUCAAGCUGAAAUAUACACAAACUAUAUCUAUUUUGGAUGUUCUUGGACCUUCCCUAAACCCCCUUCUCAUGAAACCAGCAUUUUCAUCUACUUGCUCCUAUUCUAAGUGUCUCCUAUGGGUAUUGACAGCCUUUUCCCCUAUCUAUAAUCUUUGAACUAAAAGAAGGCCAAUCGGGUCAGACUUGGUCAGAUUUUAUGUGCCCUAAGUUGGUUAAGAGAUGGAUAAAUCAACCCUUUCUUAUUAAAACUAGGAUUAUUAUAUAUAUUUUUAUAAUCAAAUAAAUAUUUUAUUGACAUACUUUAUCACAUAACCUUUAUUUUCCAGUGAAUGACCCAGAAAAUCUUUUUAUCUCUAAUGCCUGGUGCAUCAUAGGUACAUAAUAAAUGCUUGAGAUAAAAUAAUCAACACAUUGUGCCUUUUAUAUGCCUCAUUGGACUAUUAUAUUUUUGUUUAAUUUGUCAAACUCUCAUUCCAUAAAUUUUCACAGAUCCCCUUAGGUUGCAGGGGUAUUUGGACCUCCUUUUAAAAUAAAUAAUGGGAAAGAUAUAUGAAGGGAUGAAACACUGGUAGAAUUAGGGACAAAAGUAAAAGUUUUCUGACUUCCUUACCAAUGCUUCAUUAGGCUAUCCUACUAAAUUCAUUUUCAUCUUUGACGUAGUCCUGCGCAUUCCUGGGGUAUAAAUCAAGUCUUUCUGACACUGGCAUUUUUCUCACGGUUAUAGAGAAUUUUAAAAAAGAACUAUAGAAGAAAGUAAGAGACCAGGGUUCCAAUUUCCAGGCCGUAACUCUUUCUUAAAAGAGAGAAUUGGCCUGCAGUGUCUGUAAUUUAGGCAGUCUUAAUGAAUGAUUUCUAAAUUAUUUAUUACUUGCAGAAAGCCCUAAACAUCCCUCCCUGAAAGAUUACAAAACUAUCUGGGUAGGAGUCAGAGAGUUCAAACAUUUGGCCCUUUUGGCUGGGCUUGUUGUUGAAACCGGUCAUGAUCUGGGAACGAAUUUCCUUCUUGACUUCCUUAUUCCAAAUAUUGUGCUAUGUCCAUGCAGGACCCAUUUGGGAUUGUAGAAAAGUGCCUUUGCCGCAUGAAUUGCUCUUUUUUUUUUGCACACUUCCAACUGGAUCAACUAUUCCCAAAUUAGUUGAAAAUUAGACACUGCUGGAAUAUACAAACUGGAUACAUGAGCAAGAAUGCAUUGAAGUAUCUUAGCAUCCUUUCAGAGAGCUUUCUGCUGCCAAGCCAAAACACCCAGACGGGUAGACUGCUGUGAAAUAUGUAGGCGAUGCCUGCUGACUGAUUUUCAGAUGACGAGGAGGUAUUUGAAAGCAUCAAAGGGCCCCGUAUAGAUAUGUGUACAUUAAACCUUGCCUCUGUGAUCUCUGCACUUGACUAUUGUAACUCACUGUUUAAUGGAUUGACAAUCUCUGCCCUUCACCGAUUUAACACCUUUUCAAGGAGCUGCUGCCUUCACACAGGCUUCUCGCUGGGGCUGAGUUUCAAAAGUUUCCAUUCCCAGGUCUGUGAUGUUGCUUUGGUCACAGUUUGAGUUAUUCAGUUUGGGCCUUCUUUCUUAUGGGCCUGUUUCUGCCUGCUUUAUGCCGAUGUUUGGAUGGGCUUAUAAAGCGUUUCAAUCAAUACAUAUUUGCCAAGUGUUGAUGGGGAAUCACCUCCGUGAUUGGUAAUUUUUUUUUUAAAGUAGACAAUACGGUCCUUGUCCUCAAGAAACUUACAAUCUAGUGGGUGAAAUCUGACCGAUCUAACCCACACUACAAAGAAGUUUAGUGUCUAUAGUCAUCCGUACUUGAGAGGCUUGGGAGGUGAGGGAUCUCCUUCGGUAGGAGAAAUGGGGUUAGGACAGCUAAAAAUAAAUUUGGUUCCCAAACGACUUUAUUCUGGAUUUCUUCUUGGAUAGAAGCACAAAAAAUAUCCUCAUUUUCUUUCUAUUCUCAGUACUCAGAGAUGCUUCUUUACUUGUUGUGCUCCAGGUGCCAGGUGGUUGACUAUGACUACCUACAUUUGAAUGUGCCCACAAAGUAUAACACCUUAAAGUUUUUUUUGGGAGAAAAUCACCAAUUUGUUGUGGAUUGAACAGGUAAUGAGUGUGCACAAUCCCAACAUAUGUGUACUGUUAAAUAGUGAUGAACCUUUAAGUCAAUAAAGAAGAAACCAAUCAGACCACAAAGGAGUUGAGUGUUCCUCAGAUGGAGGUUGAACACACAUUUCACUUGGGAUGCAGGAACCUCUGAAUAUUGACUGAUUGGCUCAGAGCCAAGUGGUUGGCUGGGCUUCAACAACCCCCCCCCCCCAUUUUGCACUCCCCUCCCUACUACAUUUGUACAAUUUCCAACUAGUUGUUCCCCUUAUCUAACAACUCUGGUCUCAUUCUACUGUGGAAUAUGGAGGAGAAUUUUGUCUACCAACCCAAAGGUCAUCUUGGGGAAAACCAGCACUUGCUCCACUUAUGAGUAGGCAGUAAAAUGGUGAGUGAUAGAAGCGGACUGCUUGUCUGAUGAAUGUAUUGAUUUUUUUUUAUUCCUACUAGCAAACAUAACAUUUAUACCAUUGAGAAACAGAUGCUUUUCUCUUUCUUUUUUUGAAAGGGACGGGGUUUACUGAACAGUGAAUAUCUGAAAAUAUUUGCUAUCAAGAAAUGAUAGGAAGACUGGGGCUGAGACCUUAGAGUACUGGGAUGCUUUUAGAAUCUUCUCAUGAAAUGUUUUCAUUAAACUCCCUAAAUGAGCAUUGAAUGUGACUUUCUAUAGGAUGAAUUUUUCCAAAAAUUGUAGUCCCCAAAAAGGCAACAGACAUCAUAACUAAGCAAUGUCAGGACAAAUUUACCAGCUAUGUUCAAUUUUAGACAACAUUUCUACUAGGAUAGAGAGAAAAUGACGGAGAACAGUUCCUCUUCUUAAAUCUCAACCAUUAGCCCUAGGAAAUCACACACAAGGGGAAAUUAACCUCUACAAUAAAUACUUAUUAGGAAAACCAAAUGUCCUUCCUUUCAGCUAGAACAAAAGCAAGGCUCAAUUUGUUAUUUUCUGAGAUAACUGUUUUGAUACUUCUGUUGAAAACAUUUGAAGGAGAAAAAGUUUUUUGGUUUUUUUUUCCCCUUGGUCUACUUUUAUGUAAACUUGGAUCUCUGGUCACAAAAACUUCCAUUAUAAAUCACCAAAGCCCGGCCUUCAGAAGGGCUCUGGAAUCAGAGAGCCUAAUAUUUUGAUUAAAUUGAAAAAUGAGAUCCAAAACACAAUUCAAAAAUCCAUUAGGUUGAACAAUGCCAGCUGACAUCUGUACCUAUAAGUCAAGAUAAUUACCAAGCUGCUAUACAAAUUUAGUUAUGACUUAGGUGAUAAUCUUGGACUAACAGUGAAAUGAGCCCUUGGGCAUUCUAGUUGCCCAGGGACCAAAGGCCAGACAAUUUUGGUAGUCCUUUUUUUAGAAUCUUUUUGGCAGUAGGCUGGUGAAAUUUCUUAACCACGAUGCAAUGUACUUGAUUCUUCAAUACUGGUUCCCAUUCAGUACCACAUUUAGAAAUUUACUGUAGGUGAUGGGAGAGCAACUAGGUGGCUCAGUGGUUUGAGAGUCAGGCCUAGAGACAGGUGAUUCUGGGUUCAAAUGUGGCCUCAGAUAUUUCCUAGCUAUGUGACCUUGGACAAGUCUACCCCCCAUUCCCUAGCACUUACCACUCUUCUGCCAAAGAAACCAAUAUGUUCUAUUGAUUCUAAGUCAGAAGGUAAGGAUUAAAAAAAAAAAUUUACUCUGUUCCAUUUUAUGGAAAAUUCAAUCAAUCCCCUUGAUUUCUUCUUGGGACUCUCUACCUGAGUUGUCUUUUGAUCCUUCCUGUCCUUUCUUCCACCCUCUAAUGAUUUACCAACCACAGUAUUCCUCAAAUUUUUCUCAGCCCUGUUUCCUACCCCCUUGCAUUUUUCUUGCUCCUUUCAUUUUUCCUGUGUAUGCUGACUCCCUAGUUCCUCUUCUACUAAAUUAUGCUCUAUUAUUUCCACAGCCUGAAGAACUCACAGCUGAAGCAUUAUUUCUAACCUUAUUUUAUAUUCCUAGCAUGUGCUAUAACCUGUUUUGAGUUUUAUUUGCAGCCAAGAUGCUGACACAGCUCCAAUUUUGUUUUCAUAUUUUGAUUGGGUAGGAGUGUUCGUUACUGUGGGUACCAGGGAAAGGGGGAAAAAGUCAUUUUUUAAAAAAAAGGCACAUUUAUACCUUCGUUAAAGAGCUCUUUGUCUCUGAAUCCAGCCCUUUUUAAUUUUUUGAAUUACAUACACUCACAAAUAUUAU